This is a transfer RNA of Nadsonia fulvescens var. elongata DSM 6958, 73 nucleotides long. It matches the Rfam family "tRNA". Rfam says of the family: Transfer RNA (tRNA) molecules are approximately 80 nucleotides in length. Their secondary structure includes four short double-helical elements and three loops (D, anti-codon, and T loops). Further hydrogen bonds mediate the characteristic L-shaped molecular structure. tRNAs have two regions of fundamental functional importance: the anti-codon, which is responsible for specific mRNA codon recognition, and the 3' end, to which the tRNAs corresponding amino acid is attached (by aminoacyl-tRNA synthetases). tRNAs cope with the degeneracy of the genetic code in two manners: having more than one tRNA (with a specific anti-codon) for a particular amino acid; and 'wobble' base-pairing, i.e. permitting non-standard base-pairing at the 3rd anti-codon position. NCBI's taxonomy places the organism in Eukaryota, Fungi, Ascomycota, Dipodascomycetes, Dipodascales. The record is from Rfam.
GCCUCUGUGGCCAAGUGGUAAGGCGUCUGUCUCGUAAACAGAAGAUUCGUCGGUUCAAUCCCGACUUGAGGCA